CCUGUAUUGUGUGGAGAAAUCCACAAUGUUUGCAGUACCGAAGGCAGAACCACUACGAAGUCAGUGGUUGACAUUCCUUUUUAACACUGUUCCAGCUGAUUUACCAGCCGGUACUGUUGUGUGUGCGGCAUUUCACGGACCAAAGCUUAAAAAACUUAACAAUGUUUAGCUUCGGACUUGCAAAGCUGAUAUUGGAGGACGAUGCUGUUCCUACUUUGUUUGGACCAGCGGGAGAUUCGGGUACACAACCUAGUACAUCACAGCAGGAACACAAUACCAACUGCUCCAGUACAGUCGGAUGUCAAACAGACUGUUUGUGUGGGAACUCAGAGGGUUGAGACACGGUCUGUGGGAACACAGACAGUGGAAUGUAAAGUGUCCGCCAUUUCUGUUGCUACACAGUUGGCCCGGGGAACACUGAAAUCGGCACACGUGAGAAGCAAAGAAAUCCCCUUGUCCUCUACACCAAUAAAGGGCCCAGGAUUGGGACCUAGCAAGAGACCUCGACUAGAGUUGGAGCAGGAACAAGGAGAGACUUCGAUUGAAUUUGAAGAGACUCUGGAUUCGAGUUACCACCCUGAUGAUACUGUAGAAG
This is a long non-coding RNA of Gymnodraco acuticeps, 595 nucleotides long. RefSeq lists it as uncharacterized. Lineage: Eukaryota; Metazoa; Chordata; Actinopteri; Perciformes; Bathydraconidae. The transcript has 3 exons. The record is from RefSeq and is a predicted model, not a curated record.